Molecule: unclassified non-coding RNA, 378 nt
Filed under: uncultured Gammaproteobacteria bacterium
Lineage: Bacteria; Pseudomonadati; Pseudomonadota; Gammaproteobacteria
Description: contains 16S-23S intergenic spacer region
Source: RNAcentral
UCCGGUUUGUCACCGGCAGUCUCGUUAAAGUGCCCAACUAAAUGAUGGCAAUUAACGACAAGGGUUGCGCUCGUUGCGGGACUUAACCCAACAUCUCACGACACGAGCUGACGACAGCCAUGCAGCACCUGUGUUAGCGUUCCCUUUCGGGCACCCUCACAUCUCUGCGAGGUUCGCUACAAGUCAAGGGUAGGUAAGGUUUUUCGCGUUGCAUCGAAUUAAUCCACAUAAUCCACCGCUUGUGCGGGUCCCCGUCAAUUCCUUUGAGUUUUAACCUUGCGGCCGUACUCCCCAGGCGGUCAACUUCACGCGUUAGCUUCGUUACCAAGGGAAUCAAUCCCCCGACAACCAGUUGACAUAGUUUAGGGCGUGGACUAC